GCCCAGUGAUAACUAAAUUUUGACUUCUGGCCUGCAACAAAAUGUAUUUCUGUCACUCAAGCCACCAAGUUUUGUGAGUCUAUUACAGCAGCCACAGAACAUGAAUAUAGAGGCGGUAUUUAGGGAAAAAUCACAGAAGUUUAUCAGUGAAGGGGCUUUUUAUCUAUAGAUUAUAACCACAAGUAGAAUAACAAAGGUACCUAAUAGGUCCUUAGUUUAUUAACAAAGCAGUUUCCCUAGAUUCUUCUAUUAGUCUCUAUCCAUUUGCUAGCACAUGAUU
RNAcentral lists this long non-coding RNA (280 nucleotides) under Homo sapiens (human). RNAcentral describes it as "HSALNT0367541". Lineage: Eukaryota; Metazoa; Chordata; Mammalia; Primates; Hominidae. The record is from RNAcentral.